CUCAAACUCAUCAGCAACCAGCUGCAGAGGAGCUUGCAUCCACUAAAAGCAGCAGGAACAAAGUCAGGAAACAAAUGCUCCGAAGGAAAAAGUGAAAAACCUCAAAGCAAACAGACACUCAAAGAAAGGAAGACGAAGAAGAGAAAGGAAAGGAGGCAAAACAAAAGACGAGAGAAGAAAUUCACUGAAACAUCACUUGAUGAUUGCACAAAAACUCAGAUCUGCCAAACGGUACACCUUGCACAAAGCUUUGGACCUCAUUACAGCACCAGUUGAAGAUGGUUUGGUCCACUCAUCUGGUCUGGGUUCUGCCAACUUCAUUGAAGGGAUAGAUCUUUGCCAUGAAAUGGGUAGCAGUCGAUGAACCGGUUUUUGAACUGCUGCAGUAUCCAGAUUUUGAAGCAAUUCACCCGAUGGUCCACUGGCUUGAGAUCGGUCUGUUGCGCAGCCUCUUAACUUAAGAAAACCUCCGUAUUAUGGGUCAAGUUAUUAAUCAACUGCAACAAGAUGAUGAUGAGGAGGACAAUCUUCAGAAGGAUGAGGCUGAUGAGAAAGAGGCUGAUGUUCCAGCAGCAGGCAUAGAAAUAAAUCCACCUCAAGUUGAAGAACCCUGGCUCAAUAACAGAGCAGAGAUCCCAGCAGGAGAAAUGGAAAUAAACCCGGCCCAACAAGCUGAAGAUCCCAUAGCUGAAGAAAUGAGGUCAUUCUGGGAUAACGAGGAGGCUGAGAGUGACAGUGUCCCUGAGAGUGGUCCUGACAGUGACCCCGAUCACAGUGACACUGACGACAGCGACAGUGAUGAUGAUGGAGCCAAGGGUGGAGGAGAAUGAUGAAGAGGAAGAUGGGAGACCCAGAAAAUGAUCCAAACACUGAAUUUUGCUCCUGGACACUCAGUGUUGCACCCAUCCUCCAAACCCACAGUCCCCCGUCCUAACAAACUGAAUCUCAGCUUUCCCCCUCUGACGCACUGACUUAGUUUCCUGCCACCAGCGACCUGUUGACCUGACUGCCACGUACCACCUGUGGAUAUCUGUUCAGCCUGUGACCCACUAUGAUUGUGCUUACAAGUGGAAUGCAACAAGUGUGUGUUUCAUACCACUGGUACCUUGUUAGGUGGUGAUGAUCGUGCUCUUACUGGUCGCAGUUAUGGAGGGAGUGGUCCUAUUGGUUGGCUCCCACAUUAGGAAGGCGGGGUUGGGGCCUUCCUAUUAUCAUUAUGCCAACAUUAUUAAUAUGGUAUAGUCUUCCUCCCCUUUUUCCUUCCUGCUGUCACCAAAUGCUUGCUCAUCGGGGCUCAAACUCAUCAGCAACCAGCUGCAGAGGAGCUUGCAUCCACUAAGAGCAGCAGGAACAAAGUCAGGAAACAAAUGCUCCGAAGGAAAAAGUGAAAAACCUCAAAGCAAACAGACACUCAAAGAAAGGAAGACGAAGAAGAGAAAGGAAAGGAGGCAAAACAAAAGACGAGAGAAGAAAUUCACUGAAACAUCACAUCACAUUCCACAAAAACCCAGAUCUGCCAAACGGUACACCUUGCACAAAGCUUUGGACCUCAUUACAGCACCAGUUGAAGAUGGAGGUUUGGUCCACUCAUCUGGUCUGGGUUCUGCCAACUUCAUUGAAGGGAUAGAUCUUUGCCAUGAAAUAACACAAUGGAUAACUUCUUCCAUGUGCAGUGUUGAUGAUGUUGAAGAAGAAGAAACUGGGGUCUCCAGCUCCACUGAGGCAGCCAUUAACCAGGAGGUAAGGUAGAUGGAGAGGAAGCAUAGUAGCAGCCAAAGACAGAAGAGCCCUGAAGCAGUACAUAAGUCCACAUUUUCUGUAUUUGUCCUGUUGCCUUUGUAAUUGGUGAUGUCUUUCAGGCCCUCCCAUACCUUUCUGGAGUUGUUAUCAGAGAGGUGAUCUGAUAGCUUGUUUGAAUAGUCCAGUUUUGCUGCUCUGCUCUACAUGUCCUGGUCCACAGAUUUGUAUGUAGAGUUGCGUGCCUUUAACAAUGCCUGAACCUUACUUGUCAUCCAGGGUUUUACAGUUGGGGUAGACCCAGACCGCUUUUCCGUGGUGACAGUGUCAGUGCGUGACACAGCACUGCAGUUGUUUGAGUCUGUAGGUCAUCGUGUUCAUCAUGUUGCUUCUAUUUUUCUUGUUUCAAUGUUUCUACUGUUAAGAAUAAUAGAUUGCUUAAUAUACAUCAGAGUUAAAGAGACUAUAGUUUGGGAUUGCUUGCAAUAUUACAAUAUGGCGGUUGAUGGGUGUAAGAAUACAAAAUAGAAAAUAGGCCUGGAAUUGGAACAAAGAACUGGGGUGCAGGGCAGGAGGGCAAUCACCCCCCACCCCCAGGGCAGGAAGCAAGAGUUACUGAGGGUGAGGGGCAGACAAAGGGCAAACGGACACUACCUUAAAAGGAGAUGGGGGUUAGGUUUGGGGGAUUUAAUUGGUUGAUGCAUUUCUUUUGGUACCAAGUUGAACCUGCCAAUUAGUUUUGGUAUGAUUUACCCUUCUAAGAUGAAGAGCGUGCGUAGACAUGACUUAACUAGGCUUUCUUAUUUUUUACUUUCACAGUGCACUGAGUUUUGUUUGAAAAUCUCUCUCGUUUGAGCAGGCCUGCAUGAUUGGAACUGAAAGCGCUACACAACAUUUUGUCAGGAACGAUUGAAGUGAGCUUCUCCACAUUAAAAUUGGCUCUGGAGAAAGCCACUUAUUUGGGACACAACUAGAUAGCAAGUCCCUGUCUAAAAGGAUUCGGUGAGGUAAUCCAGUCUAAUUAACUUAAUGCCACACGAGAGGUUCUGCUAUCAGCAAUAAACAUGGAGGACUGACUGGACUGACAAAUGUUUGACUGACUUGACGACUUGACACUGAGGCUCAAGAUUGCACCUCCACCCAGACAGCAACAAAAGGGUGGAUGUAUGUAUGUUUUUUUACAGGAGCAGGAGGAUGAAAGCGACAGUUUUGCAUCCGCUUAUGGGAUGGAACCAGCUUCCAGUUUGGAUUCAGGAGACAGACACUAUCUCUACUUUUUAGAUUAGGCUUAAAACUUUCCUCUUUGCUAAAGCAUAUAGUUAUGGCUGGAUCAGGUGACCCUGAAUCCUCCCUUAGUUAUGCUGCAAUAGGCAUAGGCUACUGGGGGACUCCCAUGAUUUUCCUCUUCAGUCACCUUUCUCACUCAGUCUGUGUUAAUAGACCUCUCUGCAUUGAAUCAUAUCUGU
Oreochromis aureus is the source of this 3203-nucleotide long non-coding RNA. RefSeq lists it as uncharacterized. The transcript is spliced from 5 exons. NCBI's taxonomy places the organism in Eukaryota, Metazoa, Chordata, Actinopteri, Cichliformes, Cichlidae. The record is from RefSeq and is a predicted model, not a curated record.